CGCGCAGGCGGCCAUUUAAAUUGGAUGUGAAAGCCUACGGCUCAACCGUAGAACUGCAUCCAAAACUAUUUGGCUAGAGUGUGGGAGAGGAAGAUGGAAUUAGUUGUGUAGGGGUAAAAUCCGUAGAGAUAACUAGGAAUACCAAAAGCGAAGGCAAUCUUCUGGAACAUUACUGACGCUGAGGCGCGAAGCGUGGGGAGCAAACA
Molecule: ribosomal RNA, 206 nt
Filed under: uncultured bacterium
Lineage: Bacteria
Description: partial 16S ribosomal RNA
Rfam family: Bacterial small subunit ribosomal RNA
Source: RNAcentral